Molecule: ribosomal RNA, 300 nt
Filed under: uncultured Pyrobaculum sp.
Lineage: Archaea; Thermoproteati; Thermoproteota; Thermoprotei; Thermoproteales; Thermoproteaceae
Description: partial 16S ribosomal RNA
Rfam family: Bacterial small subunit ribosomal RNA (bases 52-300)
Source: RNAcentral
GCGACGCAGUGGCGACAGUCCGGUGUAAUAAGGAGGUCGCAGGGGGUGUGUGGAAUGACUGGGGUUAAAGGGUGGGUAGGCGGGUGCGGAAUUGUGACGUGAAAGCCCCGGGCGUAACGCGGGAACGGCGUUUAAUACUGUCAGGCUCGGGGAAGGGAGGGGAGAGUGGAAUAUGUGGUGUAGCAGUGAAAUGCGUAGAUAUCAAGUGGAACACCAGUGGCGAAGGCGAGUCUCUGGACAUUUACUGACGCUGAGGCACGAAAGCCAGGGGAGCAAACGGGAUUAGAUACCCUGGUAGUC